UUUGUUCUUUGUUUCCUCCACCUGUUUUCAAUUGGCUUAAAUUGGCUGGUCGGAAAAAAACUCCCAAGCACGCUACCCUCGGGAGACGAGCAAGUUUCCAUACGCUGUUGUUGCAAUGCAUAUUGUUCCACAAAGGGUGGUAGUACUUCUUUGAGGGGAGGGUGUGUAGACUGAGCCAGUGCAUGCCUCAUGGGGCUGCCAUUGUAGGUACAGAAUAAGGCCGUUUGAGUCCACACUUGGCAGCCAAGUUUUCCGUGGUCUGCGAGGUGAAUGUGGGGUGUGGUCCCGCAGAGGAGAGAGUCCUGCUCACAGGCCUCCAUGCUGUAGCAGAUAUCUACUGUGAGAACUGCAAGACCACGCUGGGUUGGAAAUAUGAACACGCCUUUGAGAGCAGCCAGAAGUACAAAGAGG
This is a non-coding RNA of Doryrhamphus excisus (bluestripe pipefish), 411 nucleotides long. The record is from RefSeq and is a predicted model, not a curated record. Lineage: Eukaryota; Metazoa; Chordata; Actinopteri; Syngnathiformes; Syngnathidae.